RNAcentral lists this transfer RNA (77 nucleotides) under Coriobacteriales bacterium. RNAcentral describes it as "tRNA-Arg". It matches the Rfam family "tRNA". From Rfam's summary of the family: Transfer RNA (tRNA) molecules are approximately 80 nucleotides in length. Their secondary structure includes four short double-helical elements and three loops (D, anti-codon, and T loops). Further hydrogen bonds mediate the characteristic L-shaped molecular structure. tRNAs have two regions of fundamental functional importance: the anti-codon, which is responsible for specific mRNA codon recognition, and the 3' end, to which the tRNAs corresponding amino acid is attached (by aminoacyl-tRNA synthetases). tRNAs cope with the degeneracy of the genetic code in two manners: having more than one tRNA (with a specific anti-codon) for a particular amino acid; and 'wobble' base-pairing, i.e. permitting non-standard base-pairing at the 3rd anti-codon position. Lineage: Bacteria; Bacillati; Actinomycetota; Coriobacteriia; Coriobacteriales. The record is from RNAcentral.
GCGCCCGUAGCUCAGCUGGAUAGAGUCGCAGACUUCUAAUCUGUUUGUCGCAGGUUCGAAUCCUGCCGGGCGCGCCA